This is a long non-coding RNA of Daphnia pulicaria, 618 nucleotides long. RefSeq lists it as uncharacterized. Lineage: Eukaryota; Metazoa; Arthropoda; Branchiopoda; Diplostraca; Daphniidae. The transcript is spliced from 3 exons. The record is from RefSeq and is a predicted model, not a curated record.
AUUUACCACAUUUUUCGCAAACUAUUUAUCAAAAUCAAAUAUCGCGCCGUUGAGCUGAAGAAAUUGGCAACUGCGCGUCUCAAUUCUGAGUUUCUGACGGAAGUUCGUCUGCAGUGCAGUGUACGGCGCUCUCGCGAGUCGCGAAAUGAAGUAUUGAAGUUUGAGCUCUUGGCAUUGUUUCAUUUGAGUAAGCAUUUGAGACUUUGAGUAAUAAGUCCGUUCACGGAUAGUUUUCUAUUGUUUCUGGACUUUUAGUAGUAGUACCGGUUGUCUUGUUACAUGUGGUUGGAACAAAGAAAUCGAGUCAAGAUUCUAUUUGCUUGAAACUGCCCAGGAUUCUCAGAUCACAAUGGAAAAGUAUAGAAUUUUAUCUCUUUGUGUGAAGAAUUAAGCGAUGAACAAAUACCUAAUGCAGUGGUCUCAAACAUUCUGUUGCGGCCAUAGCUACCCCAAAUCAAUGUAGCUUUGGUUUCCCAUAACAUGAAUGACAACAUUCUCGAAUUCCUUAUUUUUCUUCUCAGCCUCUGGAAUCUUUGGGUUACAACCGACAAAGUGCAUAUACUGGUUUGAUGCAAACAUAUCUUUGUUGAAGAAACUGAUAUUGCUGCUGUGUACCUG